This 194-nucleotide ribosomal RNA is filed under the name uncultured bacterium. Its description in RNAcentral is "partial 16S ribosomal RNA". It matches the Rfam family "Bacterial small subunit ribosomal RNA", at positions 335 to 526 of the family's 1533-position model. The record is from RNAcentral.
ACUCCUACGGGAGGCAGCAGUGAGGAAUAUUGGUCAAUGGGCGCAAGCCUGAACCAGCCAUGCCGCGUGCAGGAAGAAUGCCCUAUGGAUUGUAAACUGCUUUUAUUUGGGAAUAAACCUCUUUACGUGUAGAGAGCUGAAGGUACCAAAUGAAUAAGCACCGGCUAACUCCGUGCCAGCAGCCGCGGUAAUAC